RNAcentral lists this ribosomal RNA (154 nucleotides) under uncultured bacterium. RNAcentral describes it as "partial 16S ribosomal RNA". It matches the Rfam family "Bacterial small subunit ribosomal RNA", at positions 380 to 526 of the family's 1533-position model. The record is from RNAcentral.
AGUCUGACGGAGCAACGCCGCGUGAGUGAUGAAGGUCUUCGGAUUGUAAAGCUCUUUUAAUCGGGAAGAAAGGCCUUGUGUGAUUAAUGCUAGGUUGUGACGGUACCUGAAUAGAAAGCCACGGCUAACUUCGUGCCAGCAGGCGCGGUAAUAA